CUCUUAUCUUCUCCAU
RNAcentral lists this small RNA (16 nucleotides) under Arabidopsis thaliana (thale cress). RNAcentral describes it as "ATSL224090". Lineage: Eukaryota; Viridiplantae; Streptophyta; Magnoliopsida; Brassicales; Brassicaceae. The record is from RNAcentral.